GGAUGUGAGGGCGAUCUGGCUGCGACAUCUGUCACCCCAUUGAUCGCCAGGGUUGAUUCGGCUGAUCUGGCUGGCUAGGCGGGUGUCCCCCUCCUCCCUCACCGAUCCAUGUGCGUCCCUUCCGAAGCUGCGCGCUCGGUCGAAAGGAAGACCUCCCCCCCCCCCCCCCCAGGAGAGGACCAGUCUUCGGUCAAGGGUAUACGAGUAGCUGCGCUCCCCUGCUAGAACCUCCAAACAAGCUCUCAAAGUGAGAGAGACACAUUGAUUGGUUGCCUCAUGCACUCGCCCUGACCAGGGCCCAGGU
RNAcentral lists this small nuclear RNA (304 nucleotides) under Myotis brandtii (Brandt's bat). Its description in RNAcentral is "7SK RNA". It matches the Rfam family "7SK RNA". Rfam says of the family: 7SK was discovered as an abundant small nuclear RNA in the mid-70s but a possible function has only recently been suggested. Two independent studies have found that 7SK RNA binds the CDK9/cyclin T complex (known as elongation factor P-TEFb). Lineage: Eukaryota; Metazoa; Chordata; Mammalia; Chiroptera; Vespertilionidae. The record is from Rfam by way of RNAcentral.